CGAUGACAGCCUUGAGGCGAGAAAUUCAGCACUGGUUUCUGAAAUGGGAACAGAGGAAUCAAAUGUCUGUACCUCUCUCAAGGAGAAGGGGACUAUCCAGUCACUGCUUCACAAAAGACAUGUUGCCAUCCAUAUGUGGAAGCCAGUUGCUGGCCCUGAAGAUUUACUAAUGUGAAUGCUGUUCUCUUCAUUGUUCUCCCCUGGGCUGUGAUAUGACAGG
Zonotrichia leucophrys gambelii is the source of this 220-nucleotide long non-coding RNA. RefSeq lists it as uncharacterized. Lineage: Eukaryota; Metazoa; Chordata; Aves; Passeriformes; Passerellidae. The transcript has 3 exons. The record is from RefSeq and is a predicted model, not a curated record.